GGUGCUUUUAGUCUCAAAGUUCUGAAAAACUUACAGCAGUGUUUUUAGAAACAAAUGUGAAAAGUCAAAUUAAAUAGAUAGUAUUUACAAAUGUAAAAUACCUGCCAGAUCUACCAUUAAUAGAUAAUAAACUAAACCAGACUGGAGGCAAACGGGACUAAGUGUUUAAGCAACAACUAUAUACUACUUAGCUUAAAUAUAUUUUGUUAAUAGGAACAUUAAUAGAACAUUUUUAUGUAACAAAAUAUGGACAACUAUUAUCUUGGAAAUUAAAGAGUCGAAGCAAAGAAAUGAAGGGCUGGUAAAAUGAAUUU
Molecule: long non-coding RNA, 314 nt
Filed under: Bos taurus (domestic cattle)
Lineage: Eukaryota; Metazoa; Chordata; Mammalia; Artiodactyla; Bovidae
Description: long non-coding RNA NONBTAT023139
Source: RNAcentral